UCAAAAAUCCACUGUGGGGGCCAUUGUCAUGCAAGUGCGCAAGAGCCAUUGUCUUCUGCUACGCAGGACUGUAACUCUCUGCAAUCUGCAGGACAUAGUGGAUGGAUUCACAGCAAUGGGUUCCCAAAUUGUGGUGGAGCAAUAGAUGACAGAUGCUUUAAAGGGAAAAGAAAAAGAAAAUAAGAGAGAGGGGGAAACCACUCAUACAGAGAGUGCAGCCUGAGGCUGUAAUCCUGCUUUCAAGAGGACACAUUAAAAAGAAACCUCAGAAAAGCCUUCAACUACCAGGUACAGGAAGGCAUCAAAGAGCCCCAUCACAGGCAAGAAGCAAGAAUGAUAAAGACCUCUCUUACUUUUGUUAAUAUUCUAAUCUCUCUUUCUCCACUGAAAAUCCU
Mauremys reevesii (Reeves's turtle) is the source of this 395-nucleotide long non-coding RNA. RefSeq lists it as uncharacterized. NCBI's taxonomy places the organism in Eukaryota, Metazoa, Chordata, Testudines, Geoemydidae. The record is from RefSeq and is a predicted model, not a curated record. The transcript is spliced from 3 exons.